This 67-nucleotide transfer RNA is filed under the name Marmota monax (woodchuck). RNAcentral's name for it is "tRNA.Thr". Lineage: Eukaryota; Metazoa; Chordata; Mammalia; Rodentia; Sciuridae. The record is from RNAcentral.
GUUGUAGCUCAGUGGUAGAGUGCUUGCCUAGUAUGCAUAAGGUCCUGGAUUCUUUCCCAGUACAACA